GCAUACGCUACCAGACCACAUUAUUGCGAACGGGGAGCAUUCACUAAACGGCGGUUUGUGCAUUUACUACUGGAGGUACCGUAACAGACAUCAGUCGUUUGGAAGAAAAUUAUGUUUAACCCCUUAAGGACCAAACUUCUGGAAUAAAAGGCAAUCAUGACAUGUCAUGUGUCCUUAAGGGGUUAUAAAGAUUUUUCAAUAAUUUUCCUUACAAAGAAAAUGCUGGAGAUAAAGAUAUCUUUAAACACACUACAUUGAAGAAAAG
Non-coding RNA from Pelobates cultripes (western spadefoot toad), 265 nucleotides. NCBI's taxonomy places the organism in Eukaryota, Metazoa, Chordata, Amphibia, Anura, Pelobatidae. The record is from the annotation of a GenBank genome assembly.